CUGCAACUUGGUCCCCAAAGCGGCCAGUGCGCCUGUGAGUCGGGAGACCUCCUCGGUGAGGCGGGAGAUCUCCCCCUCAAGCUGGGCCUCUCGAUCGACCGACUGCUGCAGUUGGUCGACCAGUAUGACUUUAUCAACCUCGGCAGCCAUGGCCUUAUCCUUCCAGGCCACGCGCAGAUCGCCGAACCUUCGAUAUCCGGCCUCCAGCUCGGAUAUGUUAUAAAUCAGCUGCAAAAAACAAAGCCGACCGUCAGAAGACCGAACUUAUGAAAAACGAUAACGAAAGCGGAA
RNAcentral lists this long non-coding RNA (291 nucleotides) under Elaeis guineensis (African oil palm). Its description in RNAcentral is "long non-coding RNA (EGUI_LNC070404)". Lineage: Eukaryota; Viridiplantae; Streptophyta; Magnoliopsida; Arecales; Arecaceae. The record is from RNAcentral.